This 650-nucleotide ribosomal RNA is filed under the name Plicariella cf. flavovirens NV2011.08.11. RNAcentral describes it as "eukaryotic LSU rRNA". The stretch from base 248 to 401 matches the Rfam family "5.8S ribosomal RNA". The record is from RNAcentral. Lineage: Eukaryota; Fungi; Ascomycota; Pezizomycetes; Pezizales; Pezizaceae.
CAUUAUCAAAAAAAUUCAUUUUUUUUGAAAUAUUUUUUCCAAUUUCCUCUGUGUACCUAUUCCAUGUUGCUUCCACUAGACUGGUAUCCAUUAUAUUGAAUAUUAAUAUCAUUAGUAUUCUACUAUUGUAUACCCUUCAUCCAUCUUAUAACAAGUGGUUGAUGUAGUGUCGGUGGGUAGCCUUUAUUUAUAAAAAAACUUGAUUUAAAUCUAGUCUGAUAUAUAAAGAUAAUAUAUAAAUAAAAAAAACUUUCAACAACGGAUCUCUAGGCUCUUGCAUCGAUGAAGAACGCAGUGAAAUGUGAUAAGUAAUGUGAAUUGCAGAAUCUCGUGAAUCAUCGAAUCUUUGAACGCACAUUGCGCCCUAUGGUAAUCCAUUGGGCAUACCUGUUUGAGUGUCAGAAUCCUACGACUGAUCAAACUUUUAUAUAUGUUAUUUGAUAUAUAUGAAGAUGUUUGGAAAAAACUUUGAGAAAAGUAGAAUUAGUAUUAUAAGGUUACUUUCUUAAAAAUAAGAUUUAUAUUGUUUGGAUUUUCUUCAAAACUCAUUUUGUAUGAAAUAUAGCAAAUGGGUGAGGACAAAAAUCAAUACUUUUGGAUGACCUCAAAUCAGGUAGGGAUACCCGCUGAACUUAAGCAUAUCAAUAAGC